UGAACGCUAGCGGCAGGCUUAACACAUGCAAGUCGAGGGGUAUGGUAGCAAUACCAGAGACCGGCGCACGGGUGCGUAACGCGUAUGCAAUCUACCUUUCACAGAGGGAUAGCCCAGAGAAAUUUGGAUUAAUACCUCAUAGUAUUAUAGUAUGGCAUCAUAUUAUAAUUAAAGUCACAACGGUGAAAGAUGAGCAUGCGUCCCAUUAGCUAGUUGGUAUGGUAACGGCAUACCAAGGCUACGAUGGGUAGGGGUCCUGAGAGGGAGAUCCCCCACACUGGUACUGAGACACGGACCAGACUCCUACGGGAGGCAGCAGUGAGGAAUAUUGGACAAUGGGCGCAAGCCUGAUCCAGCCAUGCCGCGUGCAGGAUGACGGUCCUAUGGAUUGUAAACUGCUUUUGCGCAGGAAGAAACAACAUUACGUGUAAUGUCUUGACGGUACUGUGAGAAUAAGGAUCGGCUA
This 466-nucleotide ribosomal RNA is filed under the name uncultured bacterium. Its description in RNAcentral is "bacterial SSU rRNA". It matches the Rfam family "Bacterial small subunit ribosomal RNA", at positions 30 to 499 of the family's 1533-position model. The record is from RNAcentral.